RNAcentral lists this unclassified non-coding RNA (645 nucleotides) under Pseudomonas syringae pv. passiflorae. Its description in RNAcentral is "partial contains 16S ribosomal RNA, 16S-23S ribosomal RNA intergenic spacer, and 23S ribosomal RNA". The stretch from base 130 to 203 matches the Rfam family "tRNA". Lineage: Bacteria; Pseudomonadati; Pseudomonadota; Gammaproteobacteria; Pseudomonadales; Pseudomonadaceae. The record is from RNAcentral.
GGUCGUGGGUACUGCGGCUGGAUCACCUCCUUAAUCGACGACUCAGCUGCACCAUAAGCACCCACACGAAUUGCUUGAUUCAUUGAAGAAGACGAUGAGAAGCAGCUUUUGCUUUGCACACCCGAUUUUGGGUCUGUAGCUCAGUUGGUUAGAGCGCACCCCUGAUAAGGGUGAGGUCGGCAGUUCGAAUCUGCCCAGACCCACCAGUUACCUGGUGAAGUUGGUCAGAGCGCGUACGACACCCGGAUACGGGGCCAUAGCUCAGCUGGGAGAGCGCCUGCCUUGCACGCAGGAGGUCAGCGGUUCGAUCCCGCUUGGCUCCACCACUUACUGCUUCUGUUUGAAAGCUUAGAAAUGAGCAUUCCACCCUGAUUGAAGGGUGCGUGAAUGUUGAUUUCUAGUCUUUGAUUAGAUCGUUCUUUAAAAAUUUGGGUAUGUGAUAGAAAGAAAUAUAGACCGGGCACCUCUUUCACUGGUGCGUGUCCGGGCUAAGGUAAAGUUUGUGAAUGCAAACUUUCGGCGAAUGUCGUCUUCACAGUAUAACCAGAUUGCUUGGGGUUAUAUGGUCAAGUGAAGAAGCGCAUACGGUGGAUGCCUUGGCAGUCAGAGGCGAUGAAAGACGUGGUAGCCUGCAAAAAAAGUGUC